UACGAGGGGGGCAAGCGUUGUUCGGAAUUAUUGGGCGUAAAGGGUGCGUAGGCGGCCGGGUAAGUCUGAUGUGAAAUCCCGCAGCUCAACUGCGGAACUGCAUCGGAUACUCUCCGGCUAGAGGAAUGGAGGGGAGACUGGAAUUCUCGGUGUAGCAGUGAAAUGCGUAGAUAUCGAGAGGAACACCAGUGGCGAAGGCGAGUCUCUGGACAUUUCCUAACGCUGAGGCACGAAAGCCAGGGGAGCAAACGGG
RNAcentral lists this ribosomal RNA (253 nucleotides) under uncultured bacterium. RNAcentral describes it as "partial 16S ribosomal RNA". It matches the Rfam family "Bacterial small subunit ribosomal RNA", at positions 524 to 776 of the family's 1533-position model. The record is from RNAcentral.